CGGCGAACGGGUGAGUAACGCGUGGAUUAUCUGCCCUGAGGUGGGGGAUAACCCGGGGAAACUCGGGCUAAUACCGCAUAUGACCGUGAGGUCAAAGGGGGGUCGCAAGAUCUCUCGCCAUAGGAGGAGUCCGCGUCCGAUUAGCUAGUUGGUAGGGUAAUGGCCUGCCAAGGCGACGAUCGGUAGCCGGCCUGAGAGGGUGAUCGGCCACACUGGAACUGAGACACGGUCCAG
RNAcentral lists this ribosomal RNA (234 nucleotides) under uncultured bacterium. RNAcentral's name for it is "partial 16S ribosomal RNA". It matches the Rfam family "Bacterial small subunit ribosomal RNA", at positions 96 to 334 of the family's 1533-position model. The record is from RNAcentral.